Molecule: ribosomal RNA, 494 nt
Filed under: uncultured bacterium
Lineage: Bacteria
Description: partial 16S ribosomal RNA
Rfam family: Bacterial small subunit ribosomal RNA
Source: RNAcentral
GACGAACGCUGGCGGCGUGCUUAACACAUGCAAGUCGAACGGAAAGGCCUGCUUUCCCUUGUGGAUUGCGGGUACUCGAGUGGCGAACGGGUGAGUAACACGUGAGUGAUCUGCCCCCAACUUGGGUAUAAGCCUGGGAAACUGGGUCUAAUUCCCGAUAGGACUGCAGGGUGGUGCCUGUGGUGGAAAACGAUUUUCUAGUGGUUGGGGAUGAGCUCGCGGCCUAUCAGCUUGUUGGUGGGGUAAUGGCCUACCAAGGCGGCGACGGGUAGCCGGCCGGAGAGGGUGGACGGCCACAUUGGGACGGGGAUACGGCCCAGACUCCGACGGGAGGCAGCAGUGGGGAAUAUUGCACAAUGGGCGGAAGCCUGAUGCAGCGACGCCGCGUGGGGGAUGACGGCCUUCGGGUUGUAAACUCCUUUCGACCGCGAGGAAGCCACCUGGUUGGAAGGGUGGUGACGGUAGUGGUAGAAGAAGCACCGGCUAACUACGUG